This 1722-nucleotide long non-coding RNA is filed under the name Homo sapiens (human). RNAcentral describes it as "long intergenic non-protein coding RNA 629". The record is from RNAcentral. Lineage: Eukaryota; Metazoa; Chordata; Mammalia; Primates; Hominidae.
UGAUUUUAAUUGACCUUUAAAGUAAUCAAUUUUUUGUUAAAUUACUCAUACAAAGCAUGCUAUGAAAUACCAGUAAAUAUCGGGUUAAAAAUUAACUGAAAGACAGAAACUUACUAUUGUGUGCUGAUUUGAUGGAACAGAGGAGUGAAAAUAUAGUACGCACCUUCUGGAUUGAGACUGUGGUUUUCGUUUUUGUUUUUGUUUUUUGGUAGUGGCAGAGCUUCAAACUGGAGAAUGUUCUUUUUCAUGCGCAGUUUUUAAAAAUUGUCAUUAAAUAUUUUCACAAAGUUAAAACAACAUUGAAAGUAACUUGGGCAACUUAGAUAUUCCCUGUACUUGCUGUAACUCAAAUACCAAAACAUAUUUAGAGUUUAGGUGCAUCUAUCAUUCGAGGCAUGUGAUUUCUUUACCUGGGUGAAGCGAAAGAAAGUUAAAUCGAUGAAAUAUGAAAUGAAAAUGAGAAUCAAUUUGUAGAAUGAACCAUAAAAGAACGAGAUUUUUGAAGAGAUUAUUUUAUUUUGAUUGCAGACUGUAAAUUAUCACAGGGAGUUGCUGUAGGAAUGACAUUGAGGCUUACUUUUGGGUCAAUUUGUUCCUGUCCUGACCCACCCUUGGCAGUGGAGACAGCUAGAAUUUCUCUAACUCCAUAGAAACCAGUCUCACUGUUGCUUUAGGACUCGAUUCUCUCCCUACACUGGGCUUCCUUUAGUGCUUUGUUAUGUAAAUACAGCUUCAAAAAUAGAAUAAAUAUUCUGUAGGCAUUACUUGGAAAACGAGCUUUUAUUUUAAAGAUGUGUGCUUAUUUAAGUCGCAGACAGAGCUUUAAAGAGCUCUUGAUAGAAAGAAAUAUAUUUGGCGAAGAGUCAAAACUUUUAAAGUAACUUUAAAAGGUGAAUAAUUUACAUUCGUAUAGUGUUUACAUAAUAGGGUGUGUACGACAAAGCCAAAACAACAUUGAAAAUAACCUGAGCAAUUUAAAUAUUCUUCCUAGUAACUGUAAAAUAAAAGUGCCUUCGAAUGGUACAUUUGCUGGCAGGAAAUUUUUUUCAUGUUCCCAGGUGGCAAGGAUUCUUUCAUGUUCCCUUAUAUUUGAAAACUGGUAUUAGCGUUUACUUCUCGGACUCAGACCAAUUCCCCCUUACCUGUCAGAGAACAUCUAGCAAUAAAUGCUGACAAAGCUACAUAGCAAAGGGCAAACCUGUCACUUCCCUUUCAGAAACCUGUUUAUGCACCCUCCUGCAAUCCCACCACCUGCCCAGGCCAAGUGAGCCCCUCUCCGCUACUGGUGUUUCAUAAUGCUGGGAGCUACUUUGAUUUCAUGCAUUGCCCUUCAGCUGCCAUGUUAUGAGGACACUUGGAGAAAGCUACAGGAGAGGAACUGAGGUCUCCUGCCAUCAGCCACUUGAGUGAGCAUGGGAGUGGAUUCUCCAAACUCCAGUUAAGACUUGAGAUGUCCACAGUGGCAGCCACUAGCUUGACUGCAACUUACGAGAGACCCUGAGCCAGAGGCACUCAGUUAAGUCAUACACAGUUUCCUGACCCGUAAAACCUGUGACACAAUGAAGGUUUGUUGUUUUGGGGGUAAUCCGUUAUUCAGCAAUAGAUAACGAAUACAGAAGGCUUGUAAUUGUAUAACCAACGUGAGUUUAUAAGCGGAUAUCUGACCUCAUUUGUUUUCUCCUGAAAAAGUUAUAGAAAAAUCACAAGACUGCAAGUCACUCU